AAUCACUUUUCCCUACUCCCAAAAUAUUGAACUAUACGACUGCAUCUAUACAUCCAUUCCUCCAUUGUGAAUCUCAACCAAACUAAUCUUAUUUUCUAUCUCUUGGUUCAAACGAAAGAGGUUUCGAAAUCUUGCUCUCCUGCCACUCAGGUUUGCCUCUGUUUUUGGGAAAAGGUUUGGAGUGGAGGUUGAGACAUCAAGUUUUGAUGUCAUAGGUGUGUUAUUUUCCAGAUCUGCGUAUACACUUUUCUAGAUCUGCAAGUGAACUGUUAUUUCUAUGUCUGAGAGUGGAUUUCUACAAACAGAGAAUGGAUAGUGAACUUGUCUCCCAUUUACAAUUGAUUGCUAAUAUAAAAAAUCAUAGUCAAAUUAAGGUACUGUGACGGAGCAUCUUUUACGGGAGAUAGUGAAAAUGAGGCUGCACAGCUUCAAUGUCAAGGACAAAAAAUAUGGCUAGCUGCAAUAGAGGAGGUGCCAGUGUGAUCUUAUGUUGAUAUGGUGCGUGUUUCUGUUUCUAUGCAUUCUACUUUGAAACCAAUAUAAUAGUGCUUAUGUAUCUCUGUGCAACUGCAAAUCCCGAUGGCCAAAAGCGAGCCCUUGUGAUCGGAGGAGGAAUUGCUAACUUCAUUGAUAUUGAUAUUGAUCCAGAAAAUAAAACAGAAGACUGUGUUCAUUCACUUGCUUGAUUUAUGACAAUAUAUAUCUUCUGACUUUUGGUUUCUGUUGUAAGUUAAGAACGUAUCCGCCACUGUUAAUUUGUUCCUACUUUGAUGAAAAUGUUUUGAUUCAUUACAUCAUUAAAUAAGGACUGGAAUUCUCAAAUGAUAUGAGCAGCAUUGUUUGAUAUUCUGAAAUUCUGAUUCAGUUGCAAUAGGGACUGUUUUGCAAUGGGAGUGGGAGUGUUUUGACUAAGGGACUGUUCUGAAAUUGUAUUCUGAAAUCUUUAGUAAGUAUGGUAAUGGGACUGUUUUGACUAA
This is a long non-coding RNA of Vicia villosa (hairy vetch), 977 nucleotides long. RefSeq lists it as uncharacterized. The transcript is spliced from 5 exons. Lineage: Eukaryota; Viridiplantae; Streptophyta; Magnoliopsida; Fabales; Fabaceae. The record is from RefSeq and is a predicted model, not a curated record.